UUAAGCGACUAAGCGUACACGGUGGAUGCCCUGGCAGUCAGAGGCGAUGAAGGACGUGCUAAUCUGCGAUAAGCGUCGGUAAGGUGAUAUGAACCGUUAUAACCGGCGAUUUCCGAAUGGGGAAACCCAGUGUGAUUCGUCACACUAUCAUUAACUGAAUCCAUAGGUUAAUGAGGCGAACCGGGGGAACUGAAACAUCUAAGUACCCCGAGGAAAAGAAAUCAACCGAGAUUCCCCCAGUAGCGGCGAGCGAACGGGGAGGAGCCCAGAGCCUGAAUCAGUGUGUGUGUUAGUGGAAGCGUCUGGAAAGGCGCGCGAUACAGGGUGACAGCCCCGUACACAAAAAUGCACAUGCUGUGAGCUCGAUGAGUAGGGCGGGACACGUGGUAUCCUGUCUGAAUAUGGGGGGACCAUCCUCCAAGGCUAAAUACUCCUGACUGACCGAUAGUGAACCAGUACCGUGAGGGAAAGGCGAAAAGAACCCCGGCGAGGGGAGUGAAAAAGAACCUGAAACCGUGUACGUACAAGCAGUGGGAGCCUCUUUAUGGGGUGACUGCGUACCUUUUGUAUAAUGGGUCAGCGACUUAUAUUCUGUAGCAAGGUUAACCGAAUAGGGGAGCCGAAGGGAAACCGAGUCUUAACUGGGCGUUAAGUUGCAGGGUAUAGACCCGAAACCCGGUGAUCUAGCCAUGGGCAGGUUGAAGGUUGGGUAACACUAACUGGAGGACCGAACCGACUAAUGUUGAAAAAUUAGCGGAUGACUUGUGGCUGGGGGUGAAAGGCCAAUCAAACCGGGAGAUAGCUGGUUCUCCCCGAAAGCUAUUUAGGUAGCGCCUCGUGAAUUCAUCUCCGGGGGUAGAGCACUGUUUCGGCAAGGGGGUCAUCCCGACUUACCAACCCGAUGCAAACUGCGAAUACCGGAGAAUGUUAUCACGGGAGACACACGGCGGGUGCUAACGUCCGUCGUGAAGAGGGAAACAACCCAGACCGCCAGCUAAGGUCCCAAAGUCAUGGUUAAGUGGGAAACGAUGUGGGAAGGCCCAGACAGCCAGGAUGUUGGCUUAGAAGCAGCCAUCAUUUAAAGAAAGCGUAAUAGCUCACUGGUCGAGUCGGCCUGCGCGGAAGAUGUAACGGGGCUAAACCAUGCACCGAAGCUGCGGCAGCGACGCUUAUGCGUUGUUGGGUAGGGGAGCGUUCUGUAAGCCUGCGAAGGUGUGCUGUGAGGCAUGCUGGAGGUAUCAGAAGUGCGAAUGCUGACAUAAGUAACGAUAAAGCGGGUGAAAAGCCCGCUCGCCGGAAGACCAAGGGUUCCUGUCCAACGUUAAUCGGGGCAGGGUGAGUCGACCCCUAAGGCGAGGCCGAAAGGCGUAGUCGAUGGGAAACAGGUUAAUAUUCCUGUACUUGGUGUUACUGCGAAGGGGGGACGGAGAAGGCUAUGUUGGCCGGGCGACGGUUGUCCCGGUUUAAGCGUGUAGGCUGGUUUUCCAGGCAAAUCCGGAAAAUCAAGGCUGAGGCGUGAUGACGAGGCACUACGGUGCUGAAGCAACAAAUGCCCUGCUUCCAGGAAAAGCCUCUAAGCAUCAGGUAACAUCAAAUCGUACCCCAAACCGACACAGGUGGUCAGGUAGAGAAUACCAAGGCGCUUGAGAGAACUCGGGUGAAGGAACUAGGCAAAAUGGUGCCGUAACUUCGGGAGAAGGCACGCUGAUAUGUAGGUGAAGCGACUUGCUCGUGGAGCUGAAAUCAGUCGAAGAUACCAGCUGGCUGCAACUGUUUAUUAAAAACACAGCACUGUGCAAACACGAAAGUGGACGUAUACGGUGUGACGCCUGCCCGGUGCCGGAAGGUUAAUUGAUGGGGUUAGCGGUAACGCGAAGCUCUUGAUCGAAGCCCCGGUAAACGGCGGCCGUAACUAUAACGGUCCUAAGGUAGCGAAAUUCCUUGUCGGGUAAGUUCCGACCUGCACGAAUGGCGUAAUGAUGGCCAGGCUGUCUCCACCCGAGACUCAGUGAAAUUGAACUCGCUGUGAAGAUGCAGUGUACCCGCGGCAAGACGGAAAGACCCCGUGAACCUUUACUAUAGCUUGACACUGAACAUUGAGCCUUGAUGUGUAGGAUAGGUGGGAGGCUUUGAAGUGUGGACGCCAGUCUGCAUGGAGCCGACCUUGAAAUACCACCCUUUAAUGUUUGAUGUUCUAACGUUGGCCCCUAAUCGGGGUUGCGGACAGUGUCUGGUGGGUAGUUUGACUGGGGCGGUCUCCUCCUAAAGAGUAACGGAGGAGCACGAAGGUUGGCUAAUCCUGGUCGGACAUCAGGAGGUUAGUGCAAUGGCAUAAGCCAGCUUGACUGCGAGCGUGACGGCGCGAGCAGGUGCGAAAGCAGGUCAUAGUGAUCCGGUGGUUCUGAAUGGAAGGGCCAUCGCUCAACGGAUAAAAGGUACUCCGGGGAUAACAGGCUGAUACCGCCCAAGAGUUCAUAUCGACGGCGGUGUUUGGCACCUCGAUGUCGGCUCAUCACAUCCUGGGGCUGAAGUAGGUCCCAAGGGUAUGGCUGUUCGCCAUUUAAAGUGGUACGCGAGCUGGGUUUAGAACGUCGUGAGACAGUUCGGUCCCUAUCUGCCGUGGGCGCUGGAGAACUGAGGGGGGCUGCUCCUAGUACGAGAGGACCGGAGUGGACGCAUCACUGGUGUUCGGGUUGUCAUGCCAAUGGCACUGCCCGGUAGCUAAAUGCGGAAGAGAUAAGUGCUGAAAGCAUCUAAGCACGAAACUUGCCCCGAGAUGAGUUCUCCCUGACUCCCUGAGAGUCCUGAAGGAACGUUGAAGACGACGACGUUGAUAGGCCGGGUGUGUAAGCGCAGCGAUGCGUUGAGCUAACCGGUACUAAUGAACCGUGAGGCUUAACCU
Molecule: ribosomal RNA, 2902 nt
Filed under: Escherichia coli
Lineage: Bacteria; Pseudomonadati; Pseudomonadota; Gammaproteobacteria; Enterobacterales; Enterobacteriaceae
Description: 23S ribosomal RNA
Rfam family: Bacterial large subunit ribosomal RNA
Source: RNAcentral